This 292-nucleotide ribosomal RNA is filed under the name uncultured bacterium. RNAcentral's name for it is "partial 16S ribosomal RNA". It matches the Rfam family "Bacterial small subunit ribosomal RNA", at positions 505 to 796 of the family's 1533-position model. The record is from RNAcentral.
GUUACAGCCGCCGCGGUAAUACGUAGGGGGCAAGCGUUGUUCGGAUUUACUGGGCGUAAAGAGCGCGUAGGCGGCUUCGCAAGUCCGAUGUGAAAGCCCCGGGCUCAACCCGGGAUCCGCGUCGGAAACUGCGAGACUUGAGUGCAGGAGAGGAGAGCGGAAUUCCCAGUGUAGCGGUGAAAUGCGUAGAUACUGGGAGGAACACCGGUGGCGAAGGCGGCUCUCUGGACUGCUACUGACGCUGAGGCGCGAAAGCUAGGGGAGCAAACGGGAUUAGAUACCCCCGUAGUCC